UUUCGCAAUGCCCGAAAGGGUGACGAUGCGACGCCGCGUGGGGGAUGAAGGCCUUCGGGUUGUAAACUCCUGUCAGGGCAAAAGAAGGGGAGGGGAGGAAACUCCCUGACCUUGACUCAGCCCAAAGGAAGCCCCGGCUAACUCCGUGCCAGCAGCAGCGGUAAGACGGAGAGGGCGAGCGUUGUUCUGAAUUACUGGGCGUAAAGAGCGCGUAGGCGGGUCCGUAUGUCAGGGGUGAAAGCCCCCGGCCUAACCGGGGAACUGCCUCUGAAACUGCGGUCCUCGAGUGGAGCAGGGGGGAGUGGAACUCUCGGUGGAGCGGUGAAAUGCGUUGAUAUCGAGGGGAACGUCGGCGGCGAAGGCGACUCCCUAUGCUUCUACUGACGCUGAGGUGCGAAAGCCAGGGGAGCGAACGGGAUUAGAUACCCCGGUAGUCCUGGCCUUAAACGGUGGGCACUAAGUAGAGGGGUUUUAAUCUC
Molecule: ribosomal RNA, 479 nt
Filed under: uncultured bacterium
Lineage: Bacteria
Description: bacterial SSU rRNA
Rfam family: Bacterial small subunit ribosomal RNA
Source: RNAcentral